Molecule: unclassified non-coding RNA, 379 nt
Filed under: Manduca sexta (tobacco hornworm)
Lineage: Eukaryota; Metazoa; Arthropoda; Insecta; Lepidoptera; Sphingidae
Description: cecropin-A-like, transcript variant X2
Source: RNAcentral
UUUGAGCUAUUUCAGACGUUCCAAAUACGACAUUAAGGUACAAAUUGUAACAAAAUAGAAUGUCAAAUAUUUUUAUUUUAUAGUAUAAAUAUAGUAUCUAGUGAAAACUAACUUCAUUCGCACCAUUUGAAAUACAAAAUAUGAAUUUCUCGCGCAUUUUAUUCUAUGUGUUUGCAAUGGUAUUAACCAUUUCUUCAGUGACAGCUUUGCCUGACCCCAGAUGGAGGCCAUUCAAGAAAAUCGAGAACAUUGGAAGAAGAAUUCGUGAUGGCAUCAUCAAAGCUGGACCAGUAAUUGACGUCAUAGGAAAGAUUAAAGGUCUGAAGAACUGAACAUAAUAUGAAUACCAUUACGAUUUAAUAAAUUGUAUCAUUAAUAA